UGUGCCAGCCGCCGCGGUAAUACGAAGGGUGCAAGCGUUAAUCGGAAUUACUGGGCGUAAAGCGCGCGUAGGUGGUUCAGUAAGUUGGAAGUGAAAUCCCCGGGCUCAACCUGGGAACUGCUUUCAAAACUGCUGAGCUAGAGUACGGUAGAGGGUGGUGGAAUUUCCUGUGUAGCGGUGAAGUGCGUAGAUAUAGGAAGGAACACCAGUGGCGAAGGCGACCACCUGGACUGAUACUGACACUGAGAUGCGAAAGCGUGGGGAGCAAACAGGAUUAGAUACCCUGGUAGUCCACGCCGUAAACGAUGUCAACUAGCCGUUGGGAGUCUUGAACUCUUAGUGGCGCAGCUAACGCAUUAAGUUGACCGCCUGGGGAGUACGGCCGCAAGGUUAAAACUCAAAUGAAUUGACGGG
Molecule: ribosomal RNA, 414 nt
Filed under: uncultured Gammaproteobacteria bacterium
Lineage: Bacteria; Pseudomonadati; Pseudomonadota; Gammaproteobacteria
Description: bacterial SSU rRNA
Rfam family: Bacterial small subunit ribosomal RNA
Source: RNAcentral